AGCCCCGUGGUGUAAUGGCUAGCAUGAGGGACUCUGGAUCCCUAGGCACCAGUUCGACUCUGGUCGGGGCUA
This 72-nucleotide transfer RNA is filed under the name Methanobacteriota archaeon. RNAcentral's name for it is "Euryarchaeota archaeon (freshwater metagenome) tRNA-Gln". It matches the Rfam family "tRNA". From Rfam's summary of the family: Transfer RNA (tRNA) molecules are approximately 80 nucleotides in length. Their secondary structure includes four short double-helical elements and three loops (D, anti-codon, and T loops). The record is from RNAcentral. Lineage: Archaea; Methanobacteriati; Methanobacteriota.